GACGAACGCUGGCGGCGUGCUUAACACAUGCAAGUCGAACGGAAAGGCCCUGCUUUUGUGGGGUGCUCGAGUGGCGAACGGGUGAGUAACACGUGAGUAACCUGCCCUUGACUUUGGGAUAACUUCAGGAAACUGGGGCUAAUACCGGAUAGGAGCUCCUGCUGCAUGGUGGGGGUUGGAAAGUUUCGGCGGUUGGGGAUGGACUCGCGGCUUAUCAGCUUGUUGGUGGGGUAGUGGCUUACCAAGGCUUUGACGGGUAGCCGGCCUGAGAGGGUGACCGGCCACAUUGGGACUGAGAUACGGCCCAGACUCCUACGGGAGGCAGCAGUGGGGAAUAUUGCGCAAUGGGCGGAAGCCUGAUGCAGCAACGCCGCGUGCGGGAUGACGGCCUUCGGGUUGUAAACCGCUUUCGCCUGUGACGAAGCGUGAGUGGCGGUAAUGGGUGAAGAAGCACCGGCUAACUACGUG
RNAcentral lists this ribosomal RNA (468 nucleotides) under uncultured bacterium. RNAcentral's name for it is "partial 16S ribosomal RNA". It matches the Rfam family "Bacterial small subunit ribosomal RNA", at positions 28 to 507 of the family's 1533-position model. The record is from RNAcentral.